This 768-nucleotide ribosomal RNA is filed under the name uncultured eukaryote. RNAcentral's name for it is "SSU rRNA". It matches the Rfam family "Eukaryotic small subunit ribosomal RNA", at positions 233 to 1016 of the family's 1831-position model. The record is from RNAcentral.
CGCCCGGAUUAUGGUGAUUCAUAAUAAUUUUCGGAUCGAUCAAUUGAUCGAUGCAUCAUUCAAGUUUCUGCCCUAUCAGCUUUGGAUGGUAGGGUAUUGGCCUACCAUGGCAUUAACGGGUAACGGAGAAUUAGGGUUCGAUUCCGGAGAGGGCGCCUGAGAAACGGCGACCAGUUCCAAGGAAGGCAGCAGGCGCGUAAAUUACCCAAUCCUGACACAGGGAGGUAGUGACAAUAAAUAACAAUGUCGGGCCUUCGGGUUUGACAAUUGGAAUGAGAGCAAUUUAAAUCCCUUAUCGAGGAUCAAUUGGAGGGCAAGUCUGGUGCCAGCAGCCGCGGUAAUUCCAGCUCCAAUAGCGUAUACUAAAGUUGUUGCAGUUAAAAAGCUCGUAGUUGAAUUCCUGGUUUCGGAGUGCGGUCUGCCCCGUGGGGUAAGUAUCAGCGCUCGGGAGCCAUCCUCGAGGAGAACAUGCCUGUGAUUGAGUUCAUGGGUAUGGGAGCCUCGUCUUUUACUGUGAGCAAACUAGAGUGUUCAAAGCAGGCUUACGCCGUUGAAUAUAUUAGCAUGGAAUAAUAAGAUAAGACCUUGGUUUAUUUUGUUGGUUAGUGGUCCAAGGUAAUGAUAAAUAGGGAUAGUUGGGGGUAUUCGUAUUCAAUUGUCAGAGGUGAAAUUCUUGGAUUUAUGGAAGACGAACUACUGCGAAGCAUUUACCAAGGAUGUUUUCAUUAAUCAAGAACGAAAGUUAGGGAUCGAAGAUGAUUAGAUACC